Molecule: ribosomal RNA, 759 nt
Filed under: uncultured Enterobacteriaceae bacterium
Lineage: Bacteria; Pseudomonadati; Pseudomonadota; Gammaproteobacteria; Enterobacterales; Enterobacteriaceae
Description: bacterial SSU rRNA
Rfam family: Bacterial small subunit ribosomal RNA
Source: RNAcentral
AUUGAACGCUGGCGGCAGGCCUAACACAUGCAAGUCGAGCGGCAGCGGAAAGUAGCUUGCUACUUUGCCGGCGAGCGGCGGACGGGUGAGUAAUGUCUGGGAAACUGCCUGAUGGAGGGGGAUAACUACUGGAAACGGUAGCUAAUACCGCAUGACCUCGAAAGAGCAAAGUGGGGGAUCUUCGGACCUCACGCCAUCGGAUGUGCCCAGAUGGGAUUAGCUAGUAGGUGAGGUAAUGGCUCACCUAGGCGACGAUCCCUAGCUGGUCUGAGAGGAUGACCAGCCACACUGGAACUGAGACACGGUCCAGACUCCUACGGGAGGCAGCAGUGGGGAAUAUUGCACAAUGGGCGCAAGCCUGAUGCAGCCAUGCCGCGUGUGUGAAGAAGGCCUUAGGGUUGUAAAGCACUUUCAGCGAGGAGGAAGGCACCAUACUUAAUACGUGUGGUGAUUGACGUUACUCGCAGAAGAAGCACCGGCUAACUCCGUGCCAGCAGCCGCGGUAAUACGGAGGGUGCAAGCGUUAAUCGGAAUUACUGGGCGUAAAGCGCACGCAGGCGGUUUGUUAAGUCAGAUGUGAAGUCCCCGCGCUUAACGUGGGAACUGCAUUUGAAACUGGCAAGCUAGAGUCUUGUAGAGGGGGGUAGAAUUCCAGGUGUAGCGGUGAAAUGCGUAGAGAUCUGGAGGAAUACCGGUGGCGAAGGCGGCCCCCUGGACAAGGACUGACGCUCAGGUGCGAAAGCGUGGGGAGCAAACAGG